RNAcentral lists this ribosomal RNA (389 nucleotides) under uncultured bacterium. RNAcentral describes it as "bacterial SSU rRNA". It matches the Rfam family "Bacterial small subunit ribosomal RNA", at positions 28 to 414 of the family's 1533-position model. The record is from RNAcentral.
GACGAACGCUGGCGGCGUGCUUAACACAUGCAAGUCGAGCGGUAAGGCCCUUUCGGGGGUACGACGAGCGGCGAACGGGUGAGUAACACGUGGGUGACCUGCCCUCAGCUCUGGGAUAAGCCUGGGAAACCGGGUACUAAUACCGGAUAUGACUCCAUGACGCAUGUUGUGGGGUGGAAAGCCUUGUGCGGCUGAGGAUGGGCCCGCGGCCUAUCAGCUUGUUGGUGGGGUGAUGGCCUACCAAGGCGACGACGGGUAGCCGGCCUGAGAGGGCGACCGGCCACACUGGGACUGAGACACGGCCCAGACUCCUACGGGAGGGCAGCAGUGGGGAAGUCUUGCGCAAUGGGCGAAAGCCUGACGCAGCGACGCCGCGUGAGGGAUGACGG